AGGAGCGUUGGUGGUAGAGUAAGGGUGAAAAACCAGGAAGGAGGAGGCCAGGGAGGGUACAAAAGUCAAAGAAAACAAUUAUCGGGGACAUGGGGAUAGCGUGGACCAGCUUUGUUGGCAUCCAAGUAAUCCUGACCUAUUUGUUACGGCAUCCGGAGAUAAAACCAUUCGCAUCUGGGACGUGAGGACUACAAAAUGCAUUGCCACUGUGAACACUAAAGGGGAGAACAUUAAUAUCUGCUGGAGUCCUGAUGGGCAGACCAUUGCUGUAGGCAACAAGGAUGAUGUGGUGACCUUUAUUGAUGCCAAGACACACCGUUCCAAAGCAGAAGAGCAGUUCAAGUUCGAGGUCAACGAAAUCUCCUGGAACAAUGACAAUAAUAUGUUCUUCCUGACAAAUGGCAAUGGUUGUAUCAACAUCCUCAGCUACCCAGAACUGAAGCCUGUGCAGUCUAUCAACGCCCAUCCUUCCAACUGCAUCUGUAUCAAGUUUGACCCCAUGGGGAAGUACUUUGCCACAGGAAGUGCAGAUGCUUUGGUCAGCCUCUGGGAUGUGGAUGAGUUAGUGUGUGUUCGGUGCUUUUCCAGGCUGGAUUGGCCUGUAAGGACCCUCAGUUUCAGCCAUGAUGGGAAAAUGCUGGCGUCAGCAUCGGAAGAUCAUUUUAUUGACAUUGCUGAAGUGGAGACAG
This 689-nucleotide small RNA is filed under the name Pongo abelii (Sumatran orangutan). RNAcentral describes it as "processed transcript". Lineage: Eukaryota; Metazoa; Chordata; Mammalia; Primates; Hominidae. The record is from RNAcentral.